AUACAUUAGGAAUCUACCUAGUAGUGGGGGAUAGCACGGGGAAACUCGUUAUUAAUACCGCAUACGACCUACGGGAGAAAGGGGGCAGUUUACUGCUCUCGCUAUUAGAUGAGCCUAAGUCGGAUUAGCUAGAUGGUGGGGUAAAGGCCUACCAUGGCGACGAUCUGUAGCUGGUCUGAGAGGAUGAUCAGCCACACCGGGACUGAGACACGGCCCGGACUCCUACGGGAGGCAGCAGUGGGGAAUAUUGGACAAUGGGGGAAACCCUGAUCCAGCCAUGCCGCGUGUGUGAAGAAGGCCUUUUGGUUGUAAAGCACUUUAAGCAGUGAAGAAGACUCUUCGGUUAAUACCCGGAGACGAUGACAUUAGCUGCAGAAUAAGCACCGGCUAACUCUGUGCCAGCAGCCGCGGUAAUACAGAGGGUGCAAGCGUUAAUCGGAAUUACUGGGCGUAAAGCGAGCGUAGGUGGCUUGAUAAGUCAGAUGUGAAAUCCCCGGGCUUAACCUGGGAACUGCAUCUGAAACUGUUAGGCUAGAGUAGGUGAGAGGUAAGUAGAAUUUCAGGUGUAGCGGUGAAUUGCGUAUAGAUCUUGAAGGAAUACCGAUGGCGAAGGCAGCUUUCUUGGCAUUCAUACUGACACUGAGGCUCGAAAAGCGUGGGGUAGCCAAUACAAGGAUUAGAUACCCUG
Molecule: ribosomal RNA, 688 nt
Filed under: Psychrobacter sp. 845G4
Lineage: Bacteria; Pseudomonadati; Pseudomonadota; Gammaproteobacteria; Moraxellales; Moraxellaceae
Description: bacterial SSU rRNA
Rfam family: Bacterial small subunit ribosomal RNA
Source: RNAcentral